UCGGGAAUUUUGGGCAAUGGGGGAAACCCUGACCCAGCAACGCCGCGUGAAGGAUGAAGUAUUUCGGUAUGUAAACUUCGAAAGAAUAGGAAGAAUAAAUGACGGUACUAUUUAUAAGGUCCGGCUAACUACGUGCCAGCAGCCGCGGUAAUACGUAGGGACCAAGCGUUGUUCGGAUUUACUGGGCGUAAAGGGCGCGUAGGCGGCAUGACAAGUCACUUGUGAAAUCUCUGGGCUUAACCCAGAACGGCCAAGUGAUACUGUCGCGCUAGAGUACAGAAGGGGCAAUCGGAAUUCUUGGUGUAGCGGUGAAAUGCGUAGAUAUCAAGAGGAACACCUGAGGCGAAGGCGGGUUGCUGGGCUGAUACUGACGCUGAGGCGCGAAAGCUAGGGUAGCAAACGGGAUUAGAUACCCCGGUAGUCCCUGAGCGGGCUGGCAAGGCGCAU
RNAcentral lists this ribosomal RNA (447 nucleotides) under uncultured bacterium. Its description in RNAcentral is "bacterial SSU rRNA". It matches the Rfam family "Bacterial small subunit ribosomal RNA", at positions 355 to 825 of the family's 1533-position model. The record is from RNAcentral.